This 442-nucleotide ribosomal RNA is filed under the name uncultured bacterium. Its description in RNAcentral is "partial 16S ribosomal RNA". It matches the Rfam family "Bacterial small subunit ribosomal RNA", at positions 338 to 795 of the family's 1533-position model. The record is from RNAcentral.
CCUACGGGUGGCAGCAGUGGGGAAUAUUGGGCAAUGGGCGCAAGCCUGACCCAGCAACGCCGCGUGAAGGAAGAAGGCUUUCGGGUUGUAAACUUCUUUUCUCAGGGACGAGUCGAGUACGGUUCCCGUCGGAAUAGCCAACGCCUACCACGUUGCCGCCGCCGCGGUAAUACGUAGGUGGGCAGCGUUUUUCGGAUUUACUGGGGGUAAAGGGCGUGUAGGCGGGAUGGCAAGUCAGAUGUGAAAUCCUGCGGCUUAACCGGAGAACUGCAUUUGAAAAUGUUGGUCUUGAGUACUGGAGAGGCAGACGGAAUUCCUAGUGUAGCGGUGAAAUGCGUAGAUAUUAGGAGGAACACCAGUGGCGAAGGCGGUCUGCUGGACAGCAACUGACGGUGAGGCGCGAAAGCGUGGGGAGCAAACAGGAUUAGAUACCCGUGUAGUC